Molecule: ribosomal RNA, 253 nt
Filed under: uncultured bacterium
Lineage: Bacteria
Description: partial 16S ribosomal RNA
Rfam family: Bacterial small subunit ribosomal RNA
Source: RNAcentral
UACGAAGGGUGCUAGCGUUGUUCGGAAUUACUGGGCGUAAAGCGCGCGUAGGCGGCCAUUCAAGUCAGAGGUGAAAUCCCUGGGCUCAACCCAGGAAUUGCCUUUGAAACUGUAUGGCUGGAGUGUCGGAGGGGAUAGCGGAAUUCCUAAUGUAGAGGUGAAAUUCGUAGAUAUUAGGAGGAACACCGGUGGCGAAGGCGGCUAUCUGGACGACAACUGACGCUGAGGCGCGAAAGCACGGGGAUCAAACAGG